UAUUGAGUUCUGAAUUAAUUAUUUUCAGCCAUAAUCCUGUCACCUUAGGUCGAUCGGUACCUCAAAUCAAAAUUUUAAGAUUGAGAAAUCAUUCUUUAGUAGAUAUUUGGUUUUAGUUCCUAAACUUGUCUAGGUCACACCCAACAAACUUUCUCCUGGGCUAUUAGCUCAGGUGGUUAGAGCGCACCCCUGAUAAGGGUGAGGUCCCUGGUUCAAGUCCAGGAUGGCCCAUUCGUUGUUGGGGGUAUAGCUCAGUUGGUAGAGCGCCUGCUUUGCAAGCAGGAUGUCAGCGGUUCGAGUCCGCUUACCUCCACUGAUCAACUGCCUGAUAACUCAAUUUGGAGAUUGAUAUUUGUUUAAUGUGAUUUAGAUGUUGUUCAACUGAACGAACCUAGCUUCCUAUCAUUCCUUAAUCUAAUUGUUGAGGUUGAUAAGACGCUGGGCUCUCUGUAAUUCCUAAGAAUUCCAGUCCAGUUCAGUAGAACCUUGACAACUGCAUAGGUUAAGUCUGGAAAGAAUAAAGCAUCUUACAGAUGCAUAAUUCUAAAAGUCAGAAGUUUUCUUGUACUUAAUUAGAAUUUAUUGUUUAAUUCUUAAAUAAGAAGCCGGAGACUUCUAAAGAUUA
RNAcentral lists this transfer RNA (625 nucleotides) under uncultured Prochlorococcus sp. RNAcentral describes it as "partial 16S-23S ribosomal RNA intergenic spacer". The stretch from base 241 to 313 matches the Rfam family "tRNA". The record is from RNAcentral. Lineage: Bacteria; Bacillati; Cyanobacteriota; Cyanophyceae; Synechococcales; Prochlorococcaceae.